This 376-nucleotide ribosomal RNA is filed under the name Mimosestes ulkei. RNAcentral describes it as "partial 12S ribosomal RNA". The record is from RNAcentral. Lineage: Eukaryota; Metazoa; Arthropoda; Insecta; Coleoptera; Chrysomelidae.
CUCUUUCUAGAUACACUUUCCAGUACAUCUACUUUGUUACGACUUAUUCCAUUUUAAAAUGAAAGCGACGGGCGAUAUGUACAUAUUUUAGAGCUUAAAUCAUUCUAAAUAAAUUUAUUAAAAUUACUUUCAAAUCCAAAUUCAAAUUUUUAUAAUAAAAAUUAUCCUUAAAUAAAUUUAAUGUAACCCAUUACUACUUUAAUAUAAACUACACCUUGAUCUGAUUUAUUUUUUAAUAAAAAUUCUUGAAUAUUAAUAUUCUAAUAAAAUAUUCAAACUACAACGAUAUGUAAACUAAUAAUUAAAGUAAAUAUUAUCGUGGACUAUCAAUUAAAGAACAGGUUCCUCUGAAAAGACUAAAAUACCGCCAAAUUUU